RNAcentral lists this ribosomal RNA (416 nucleotides) under uncultured bacterium. RNAcentral describes it as "bacterial SSU rRNA". It matches the Rfam family "Bacterial small subunit ribosomal RNA", at positions 58 to 521 of the family's 1533-position model. The record is from RNAcentral.
CAAGUCGAGUGGGUUAGACCCACGGCGAACGGGUGAGUAAUACCUAGGAACUUUCUUUAAGUGGAGCAUAACCAGUCGAAAGAUUGGAUAAUACUUCAUGUGGCCGUAAGGCUAAAGCAGCAAUGCGCUUAAAGUGAGGCCUGGGCACCAUCAGCUAGUUGGUAAGGUAAUGGCUUACCAAGGCUAUGACGGUUAGGGGCCCCGAGAUGGGAGACCCCCACACUGGAACUGCGACACGGUCCAGACUCCUACGGGAGGCAGCAGUUUGGAAUUUUGGACAAUGGGCGAAAGCCUGAUCCAGCGACGCCGCGUGGACGAUGAAGGCCUUCGGGUCGUAAAGUCCUUUUGCUCGGGAACAAUAUUUUGAGCGUACCGAGAGAAUAAGAGGUUGCUAACUCUGUGCCAGCAGCAGCGGU